RNAcentral lists this ribosomal RNA (645 nucleotides) under uncultured bacterium. Its description in RNAcentral is "bacterial SSU rRNA". It matches the Rfam family "Bacterial small subunit ribosomal RNA", at positions 232 to 873 of the family's 1533-position model. The record is from RNAcentral.
CGCGGCCUAUCAGCUUGUUGGUGGGGUGAUGGCCUACCAAGGCGACGACGGGUAGCCGGCCUGAGAGGGUGUCCGGCCACACUGGGACUGAGAUACGGCCCAGACUCCUACGGGAGGCAGCAGUGGGGAAUAUUGCACAAUGGGCGCAAGCCUGAUGCAGCGACGCCGCGUGGGGGAUGACGGCCUUCGGGUUGUAAACCUCUUUCACCAUCGGCGAGGCCCAUAGCUUGUGUUGUGGGUGACGGUAGGUGGAGAAGAAGCACCGGCCAACUACGUGCCAGCAGCCGCGGUAAUACGUAGGGUGCGAGCGUUGUCCGGAAUUACUGGGCGUAAAGAGCUCGUAGGUGGUUUGUCGCGUUGUCCGUGAAAUUCCCUGGCUUAACUGGGGGCGUGCGGGCGAUACGGGCAGACUGGAGUACUGCAGGGGAGACUGGAAUUCCUGGUGUAGCGGUGGAAUGCGCAGAUAUCAGGAGGAACACCGGUGGCGAAGGCGGGUCUCUGGGCAGUAACUGACGCUGAGGAGCGAAAGCGUGGGGAGCGAACAGGAUUAGAUACCCUGGUAGUCCACGCCGUAAACGGUGGGUACUAGGUGUGGGUUUCCUUCCUUGGGAUCCGUGCCGUAGCUAACGCAUUAAGUACCCCGCC